AUACGGAGGGUGCAAGCGUUACUCGGAAUCACUGGGCGUAAAGCGCGCGCAGGCGGGCUGAUAAGUUGGAUGUGAAAGCCUACGGCUCAACCGUAGAACUGCAUCCAAAACUGUCAGUCUAGAGUGUGGGAGAGGAAGAUGGAAUUAGUUGUGUAGGGGUAAAAUCCGUAGAGAUAACUAGGAAUACCAAAAGCGAAGGCGAUCUUCUGGAACAGUACUGACGCUGAGGCGCGAAAGCGUGGGGAGCAAACAGGAUUAGAAACCCCUGUAGUCC
This 274-nucleotide ribosomal RNA is filed under the name uncultured bacterium. RNAcentral's name for it is "partial 16S ribosomal RNA". It matches the Rfam family "Bacterial small subunit ribosomal RNA", at positions 523 to 796 of the family's 1533-position model. The record is from RNAcentral.